CGUAAUAAUAGAAACUAACCAGGAUUCCCUUAGUAACGGCGAGUGAACUGGGAUACCCAAUAUAUACCAUCUGUGCGUACCUCGGGUGCGUACAAAUUUUAGCCCGUCGAUACUAUCCUAGCAUAGUACUGGCUUCGGCCGGUAACCUAUCUAUGCGGGAAUUGUAGCAUCGUACAAAAUAUAUUAUACAACGUAUAUAUACGCAACCCACACUUAUAUAUAUUUUUAUGCGUACACUUACUUUCAUAAACACACAGCGCUCCCGCGUUGGAAAGCAAGUCUAUAUCCUUUUUGGAUAUGCCAUAGAGUGUGACGGCCACGUUUCAACUCUCUACGUAUACGCAUGCGUUAUAUACAUACACUGUAUUUUAUAUAUAACCUGAGUCGAGUUAUUU
Molecule: ribosomal RNA, 395 nt
Filed under: Ammonia sp.
Lineage: Eukaryota; Foraminifera; Rotaliida; Rotaliidae
Description: partial LSU ribosomal RNA
Source: RNAcentral